UAGUCCUACGGGACGCAGCAGUGGGGAAUAUUGCACAAUGGGGGAAACCCUGAUGCAGCGACGCCGCGUGAGCGAAGAAGUAUUUCGGUAUGUAAACCUCUAUCAGCAGGGAAGAAAAAUGACGGUACCUGAGUAAGAAGCACCGGCUAAAUACGUGCCAGCAGCCGCGGCAAUACGUAUGGUGCAAGCGUUAUCCGGAUUUACUGGGUGUAAAGGGAGCGCAGGCGGUGCGGCAAGUCUGAUGUGAAAGCCCGGGGCUC
This 260-nucleotide ribosomal RNA is filed under the name uncultured bacterium. Its description in RNAcentral is "partial 16S ribosomal RNA". It matches the Rfam family "Bacterial small subunit ribosomal RNA", at positions 334 to 610 of the family's 1533-position model. The record is from RNAcentral.